Lineus longissimus is the source of this 477-nucleotide long non-coding RNA. RefSeq lists it as uncharacterized. The transcript has 2 exons. The record is from RefSeq and is a predicted model, not a curated record. NCBI's taxonomy places the organism in Eukaryota, Metazoa, Nemertea, Pilidiophora, Heteronemertea, Lineidae.
GCUGAGGAUUCCAUCCGAACCAGAUAUUUCGAUUUGUCCUCCAUCCACUCCACCGCCAGUUUGACCCUCAAGAUGAAAAUAUAUUGUGCCUUCUUCCUGCUCCUCGUUCUGGCCGCAGUGUCUGUGGACAGUUUCGGCUGCGACGGAAACGCCAUCAGAAAAACAGCGCAACAAUGCCAGACGAAACUGGAAUUCUGCAAGAGCGACUGCCGCGAUGCGUGCCACGGGGAGUGUUUAAGUAAUUGCAGAGGGAGAGGGGAGGGUUGUAAUCGGGAAUGCGAGGAGAAGUGCGUAAAUACGCCCUGCCAAGACCAGUGCAGGCGAGUUUACGACGAGUGUAUCUACUGUGUUGGCCGUUUUCUUGAUCAUGCGUAGGUCCAAUGCUGAACUUAUCCUGAUUAUGGAGCAUGCGUGGUUGCCUUAAAUAUGAAUUUGCAUGAUUGUAAGGUCCAUGAGAAAUAAAUUAGAGUGUUUUAA